This 442-nucleotide ribosomal RNA is filed under the name uncultured bacterium. RNAcentral's name for it is "partial 16S ribosomal RNA". It matches the Rfam family "Bacterial small subunit ribosomal RNA", at positions 338 to 795 of the family's 1533-position model. The record is from RNAcentral.
CCUACGGGUGGCAGCAGUGGGGAAUAUUGGGCAAUGGUCGCAAGCCUGACCCAGCAACGCCGCGUGAAGGAAGAAGGUUUUCGGGUUGUAAACUUCUUUUAAGAGGGAAGAGCAGAAGACGGUACCUCUUGAAUAAGCCACGGCUAACUACGUGCCAUCAGCUGCGGUAAUACGUAGGUGGCCAGCGUUGUCCGGAAUUCCUGGGUGUAAAGGGCGUGCAGCCGGGCUGACAAGUCAGAUGUGAAAUCCCGUGGCUCAAACACGGAACUGCAUUUGAAACUGUCGGUCUUGAGUAUCGGAGAGGCAGGCGGAAUUCCUAGUGUAGCGGUGAAAUGCGUAGAUAUUAGGAGGAACACCAGUGGCGAAGGCGGCCUGCUGGACGACAACUGACGGUGAGGCGCGAAAGCGUGGGGAGCAAACAGGAUUAGAUACCCGAGUAGUC